Molecule: non-coding RNA, 1104 nt
Filed under: Drosophila simulans
Lineage: Eukaryota; Metazoa; Arthropoda; Insecta; Diptera; Drosophilidae
Description: Eukaryotic large subunit ribosomal RNA
Rfam family: Eukaryotic large subunit ribosomal RNA
Source: Rfam by way of RNAcentral
AACCCAACGUUAAGGUUCGGGGCCCCAAAUUACCAAAUCAGGCAGAUACCAGGAAAGGCGUUGGUGGCUAAAAACCGCAGGACGGUGAUCAUGGAAGUCGAAAUCCGCUAAGGAGUGUGUAACAACUCACCUGCCGAAGCAACUAGCCCUUAAAAUGGAGGGCGCUUAAGUUGUAUACCUAUACAUUACCGCUAAAGUAGAUGAUUUAUAUUACUUGUGAUAUAAAUUUUGAAACUUUAGUGAGUAGGAAGGUACAAUGGUAUGCGUAGAAGUGUUUGGCGUAAGCCUGCAUGGAGCUGCCAUUGGUACAGAUCUUGGUGGUAGUAGCAAAUAAUCGAAUGAGACCUUGGAGGACUGAAGUGGAGAAGGGUUUCGUGUGAACAGUGGUUGAUCACGAGUUAGUCGGUCCUAAGUUCAAGGCGAAAGCCGAAAAUUUUCAAGUAAAACAAAAAUGCCUAACUAUAUAAACAAAGCGAAUAUAAUACACUUGAAUAAUUUUGAACGAAAGGGAAUACGGUUCCAAUUCCGUAACCUGUUGAGUAUCCGUUUGUUAUUAAAUAUGGGCCUCGUGCUCAUCCUGGCAACAGGAACGACCAUAAAGAAGCCGUCGAGAGAUAUCGGAAGAGUUUUCUUUUCUGUUUUAUAGCCGUACUACCAUGGAAGUCUUUCGCAGAGAGAUAUGGUAGAUGGGCUAGAAGAGCAUGACAUAUACUGUUGUGUCGAUAUUUUCUCCUCGGACCUUGAAAAUUUAUGGUGGGGACACGCAAACUUCUCAACAGGCCGUACCAAUAUCCGCAGCUGGUCUCCAAGGUGAAGAGUCUCUAGUCGAUAGAAUAAUGUAGGUAAGGGAAGUCGGCAAAUUAGAUCCGUAACUUCGGGAUAAGGAUUGGCUCUGAAGAUUGAGAUAGUCGGGCUUGAUUGGGAAACAAUAACAUGGUUUAUGUGCUCGUUCUGGGUAAAUAGAGUUUCUAGCAUUUAUGUUAGUUACUUGUUCCCCGGAUAGUUUAAAUACGUAGCCAAUUGUGGAACUUUCUUGCUAAAAUUUUUAAGAAUACUAUUUGGGUUAAACCANAUUAGUUCUUAUCAAUUAUAACGGAAUCCACC